RNAcentral lists this ribosomal RNA (541 nucleotides) under uncultured bacterium. RNAcentral describes it as "bacterial SSU rRNA". It matches the Rfam family "Bacterial small subunit ribosomal RNA", at positions 356 to 896 of the family's 1533-position model. The record is from RNAcentral.
GAGGAAUAUUGGACAAUGGUCGGAAGACUGAUCCAGCCAUGCCGCGUGCAGGAAGACGGCCUUAUGGGUUGUAAACUGCUUUUGCAGGGGAAGAAUAAGGACUACGAGUAGUUUGAUGACGGUACUCUGCGAAUAAGCAUCGGCUAACUCCGUGCCAGCAGCCGCGGUAAUACGGAGGAUGCGAGCGUUAUCCGGAAUCAUUGGGUUUAAAGGGUCCGUAGGCGGGCUAAUAAGUCAGAGGUGAAAGCGCUCAGCUCAACUGAGCAACUGCCUUUGAAACUGUUAGUCUUGAAUGGUUGUGAAGUAGUUGGAAUGUGUAGUGUAGCGGUGAAAUGCUUAGAUAUUACACAGAACACCGAUAGCGAAGGCAUAUUACUAACAAUUAAUUGACGCUGAUGGACGAAAGCGUGGGGAGCGAACAGGAUUAGAUACCCUGGUAGUCCACGCUGUAAACGAUGGAUACUAGCUGUUUGGUUGUUAAGACUGAGUGGCUAAGCGAAAGUGAUAAGUAUCCCACCUGUGGAGUACGCACGCAAGUGUG